This 253-nucleotide ribosomal RNA is filed under the name uncultured bacterium. RNAcentral describes it as "partial 16S ribosomal RNA". It matches the Rfam family "Bacterial small subunit ribosomal RNA", at positions 524 to 776 of the family's 1533-position model. The record is from RNAcentral.
UACGUAGGGUGCAAGCGUUGUCCGGAAUUAUUGGGCGUAAAGAGCUCGUAGGCGGUCUGUCGCGUCGGCUGUGAAAACCCGGAGCUCAACUCCGGGCCUGCAGUCGAUACGGGCAGACUGGAGUUCGGCAGGGGAGACUGGAAUUCCUGGUGUAGCGGUGAAAUGCGCAGAUAUCAGGAGGAACACCUGCGGUGUAGACGGCUUACUGGACCAUAACUGACGCUGAGGCACGAAAGCGUGGGUAGCAAACAGG